This 374-nucleotide ribosomal RNA is filed under the name uncultured organism. RNAcentral describes it as "bacterial SSU rRNA". It matches the Rfam family "Bacterial small subunit ribosomal RNA", at positions 526 to 896 of the family's 1533-position model. The record is from RNAcentral.
CGGGGGGAGCAAGCGUUGUUCGGAUUUACUGGGCGUAAAGGGCGCGUAGGCGGCCACCGCAAGUCGACUGUGAAAUCUCCGGGCUUAACCCGGAAAGGUCAGCCGAUACUGCGGGGCUAGAGUGCAGAAGGGGCAACUGGAAUUCUCGGUGUAGCGGUGAAAUGCGUAGAUAUCGAGAGGAACACCUGUGGCGAAGGCGGGUUGCUGGGCUGACACUGACGCUGAUGCGCGAAAGCUAGGGGAGCGAACGGGAUUAGAUACCCCGGUAGUCCUAGCCUUAAACGAUGAAUGCUUGGUGUCUGGGGUUUUAUAGUCCCCGGGUGCCGUCGCUAACGCUUUAAGCAUUCCGCCUGGGGAGUACGGUCGCAAGACUG